UUUUGUGCUUGGUGAUUAGUUCCACAUAUUCCAACACAUGCAACCACAUACAUCCACAAGACAACCAGAAACCCUAGUAGUCACAUUUCUUUAAUAUUAACUGUGGAGCUAGAUCAAAUCGAGGAGACAUAUGUGGCUCCGUGACACCUUGCAUAGUCCGAGAACUUGGUACUACUUGUUUGCAGCUACUUGUUGGCCUGCGUCUUAUAUUAAUUUUCAGUUUGCAAUAACUAUUUGCUAGGGAGUAGUUUUAGUUUAUAUUGAGCAUCUACUUUGCAAUUUUGAAUUCAUUUCAUGCAUUAGGUCUACUUAGGAACCUUUUAUAGUUGGUCGGCUCAUACAUUUUGUCAUUCAUUUUAUGCAUCUACGUAGUGGUCGUGUCGCAUCUCAUCCUGAGUCCCACCUAGACAUGGAUUCCAAAAUUGAAACCCUACUAAAAGCUAUCCACAACACUAAUGCCCAAGUUCAAAAAACUAAUACUCAAGUCCAAAAUACCAAUGCCCAAGUCCAAGCAAACAAUGCCCAAAUUCAUGACUUAACCACAAUAUCCACCCAGGUUAAUGCCCGACUCGAUUCAAUUGAGGCUUCACUUCAAAGGGUUAUUGAAU
RNAcentral lists this long non-coding RNA (608 nucleotides) under Phoenix dactylifera (date palm). RNAcentral's name for it is "long non-coding RNA (PDAC_LNC014595)". Lineage: Eukaryota; Viridiplantae; Streptophyta; Magnoliopsida; Arecales; Arecaceae. The record is from RNAcentral.